AGGACUAACGCUGGCGGCGUGCCUAACACAUGCAAGUCGAACGGACACCACUUUGUAGCAAUACAGAUGAAGUGUUAGUGGCAGACGGGUGAGUAACACGUAGUCAACCUGCCUUACCGUCCGGGAUAACUAGCCGAAGGUUAGCUAAUACCUGAUACGAUCGUUGAGUGGCAUCACUCGAUGAUGAAAGCGGCAAUGCGCGGUUAGAGGGGCUGCGGCCCAUUAGCUAGUUGGUGAGGUAAUGGCCCACCAAGGCAACGAUGGGUAGCUGGUCUGAGAGGACGACCAGCCACACUGGGACUGAGACACGGCCCAGACUCCUACGGGAGGCAGCAGUGAGGAAUUUUCCGCAAUGGGCGAAAGCCUGACGGGGCGACGCCGCGUGCACGAGGAAGGCCUUCGGGUCGUAAAGUGCUGUCGAGGGGGACGAUUAUGACGGUACCCCUGGAGGAAGCCCCGGCUAACUACGUGCCAGCAGCCGCGGU
RNAcentral lists this ribosomal RNA (485 nucleotides) under uncultured bacterium. RNAcentral's name for it is "SSU rRNA". It matches the Rfam family "Bacterial small subunit ribosomal RNA", at positions 26 to 521 of the family's 1533-position model. The record is from RNAcentral.